AUGGGACUCGGGUAGUGGCGCACGGGUGCGUACGCGUGGGAACCUGCCUUUAGGUUCGGAAUAACUCAGAGAAAUUUGAGCUAAUACCGGAUAAUGUCUUCGGACCAAAGAUUUAUCGCCUUUAGAUGGGCCCGCGUUAGAUUAGAUAGUUGGUGGGGUAACGGCCUACCAAGUCGACGAUCUAUAGCUGGUCUGAGAGGAUGAUCAGCCACACUGGGACUGAGACACGGCCCAGACUCCUACGGGAGGCAGCAGUGGGGAAUAUUGGACAAUGGGCGAAAGCCUGAUCCAGCAAUGCCGCGUGAGUGAUGAAGGCCUUAGGGUUGUAAAGCUCUUUUACCAGGGAUGAUAAUGACAGUACCUGGAGAAUAAGCUCCGGCUAACUCCGUGCCAGCAGCCGCGGUAAUACGGAGGGAGCUAGCGUUGUUCGGAAUUACUGGGCGUAAAGCGCGCGUAGGCGGUCUAUUAAGUCAGGGGUGAAAUCCCGGAGCUCAACUCCGGAACUGCCCUUGAAACUGGCAGACUAGAAUCUUGGAGAGGCGAGUGGAAUUCCGAGUGUAGAGGUGAAAUUCGUAGAUAUUCGGAAGAACACCAGUGGCGAAGGCGACUCGCUGGACAAGUAUUGACGCUGAGGUGCGAAAGCGUGGGGA
RNAcentral lists this ribosomal RNA (650 nucleotides) under uncultured bacterium. RNAcentral's name for it is "bacterial SSU rRNA". It matches the Rfam family "Bacterial small subunit ribosomal RNA", at positions 81 to 767 of the family's 1533-position model. The record is from RNAcentral.